UCAACUAUAUCGUUGAAAUCA
RNAcentral lists this small nuclear RNA (21 nucleotides) under Arabidopsis thaliana (thale cress). RNAcentral's name for it is "snRNA_09229". Lineage: Eukaryota; Viridiplantae; Streptophyta; Magnoliopsida; Brassicales; Brassicaceae. The record is from RNAcentral.